CAGUAGCCGCGGGAAUACAGAGGGUGCGAGCGUUAAUCGGAUUUACUGGGCGUAAAGCGUGCGUAGGCGGCUUUUUAAGUCGGAUGUGAAAUCCCUGAGCUUAACUUAGGAAUUGCAUUCGAUACUGGGAAGCUAGAGUAUGGGAGAGGAUGGUAGAAUUCCAGGUGUAGCGGUGAAAUGCGUAGAGAUCUGGAGGAAUACCGAUGGCGAAGGCAGCCAUCUGGCCUAAUACUGACUCUGAGGUACGAAAGCAUGGGGAGCAAACAGGAUUAGAUACCCCUGUAGUCCCUGUCUCUUAUAC
Molecule: ribosomal RNA, 301 nt
Filed under: uncultured bacterium
Lineage: Bacteria
Description: partial 16S ribosomal RNA
Rfam family: Bacterial small subunit ribosomal RNA
Source: RNAcentral